RNAcentral lists this ribosomal RNA (427 nucleotides) under uncultured bacterium. Its description in RNAcentral is "bacterial SSU rRNA". It matches the Rfam family "Bacterial small subunit ribosomal RNA", at positions 355 to 774 of the family's 1533-position model. The record is from RNAcentral.
UGGGGAAUUUUGGACAAUGGGCGCAAGCCUGAUCCAGCCAUUCCGCGUGCAGGACGAAGGCCUUCGGGUUGUAAACUGCUUUUGUACGGAACGAAAAGGCUCUGGCUAAUACCUGGGGCUCAUGACGGUACCGUAAGAAUAAGCACCGGCUAACUACGCGCCAGCAGCCGCGGUAAUACGUAGGGUGCAAGCGUUAAUCGGAAUUACUGGGCGUAAAGCGUGCGCAGGCGGUUAUGUAAGACAGAGGUGAAAUCCCCGGGCUCAACCUGGGAACUGCCUUUGUGACUGCAUAGCUGGAGUACGGCAGAGGGGGAUGGAAUUCCGCGUGUAGCAGUGAAAUGCGUAGAUAUGCGGAGGAACACCGAUGGCGAAGGCAAUCCCCUGGGCCUGUACUGACGCUCAUGCACGAAAGCGUGGGGAGCAAACA